Molecule: non-coding RNA, 112 nt
Organism: Caerostris darwini
Lineage: Eukaryota; Metazoa; Arthropoda; Arachnida; Araneae; Araneidae
Source: the annotation of a GenBank genome assembly
AACGGCCAUACCGUGGUGAAUAUACCGGUUCUCGUUAAAUCACCGAAGCAUCAUUGGGCCCGGUCAGUACUUGGGUGGGUGACCACCGCGUGCCGAGAACACCGCGUGCCGU